UUCCAACUUGUGCUUUACAAAUGACUCCCCUGCUUUCUAAUCACUCCAGCCUUUUAUAGGAGUCAGAACUCCCAACAUGCACUGCAGCAUUCCCUUUAAAUUCCAGGAAGUGCUGCUGGCCUGCCUCUUAAGAGGUGCAAGCCACUACACCAGGCUGUAUCACAGGACACCAUAGAUCUCCUAAACAAACUAGGAGACAUAGGAUUGUUACCAGGGAGCACCAUUUUGGCAACAAUGGAUGUGGAAACCUUGCACACAGACAUACCCCACAAAGAUGGAGUUCCUGAAAAGUUACAACCAACCAGCAAUACUGUUGUAAGCCUGGCCAGAAAUUGGACCUACAGCAGUACCAGAAUGGAAACCUAAUUUGCAUCCCAUUAUUCUAAACUUUUCAUUGCUAUACAGGAACAGAGUUUCCAUUCCUCCUGUACCACCAAACCCCUAUUAUAUAGAUUACAUACUUGUGAUUUUUGGCAAACAAUGAGCUAAAACUGUAUUUUGUGCCUGGUCUGGAUCCUUUUGCAUAACCCAACUCCGCAUAUGUCUGUCUCUGCUUGAAAUCCAAAUUAAAAUUAUAUGUCUUUGCUUUUA
Molecule: long non-coding RNA, 591 nt
Organism: Xenopus laevis (African clawed frog)
Lineage: Eukaryota; Metazoa; Chordata; Amphibia; Anura; Pipidae
Exons: 2
Source: RefSeq, a predicted model, not a curated record